UAAGCGACUAAGCGUACACGGUGGAUGCCCUGGCAGUCAGAGGCGAUGAAGGACGUGCUAAUCUGCGAUAAGCGUCGGUAAGGUGAUAUGAACCGUUAUAACCGGCGAUUUCCGAAUGGGGAAACCCAGUGUGAUUCGUCACACUAUCAUUAACUGAAUCCAUAGGUUAAUGAGGCGAACCGGGGGAACUGAAACAUCUAAGUACCCCGAGGAAAAGAAAUCAACCGAGAUUCCCCCAGUAGCGGCGAGCGAACGGGGAGCAGCCCAGAGCCUGAAUCAGUGUGUGUGUUAGUGGAAGCGUCUGGAAAGGCGUGCGAUACAGGGUGACAGCCCCGUACACAAAAAUGCACAUACUGUGAGCUCGAUGAGUAGGGCGGGACACGUGGUAUCCUGUCUGAAUAUGGGGGGACCAUCCUCCAAGGCUAAAUACUCCUGACUGACCGAUAGUGAACCAGUACCGUGAGGGAAAGGCGAAAAGAACCCCGGCGAGGGGAGUGAAAAAGAACCUGAAACCGUGUACGUACAAGCAGUGGGAGCACGCUUAGGCGUGUGACUGCGUACCUUUUGUAUAAUGGGUCAGCGACUUAUAUUCUGUAGCAAGGUUAACCGAAUAGGGGAGCCGAAGGGAAACCGAGUCUUAACUGGGCGUUAGUUGCAGGGUAUAGACCCGAAACCCGGUGAUCUAGCCAUGGGCAGGUUGAAGGUUGGGUAACACUAACUGGAGGACCGAACCGACUAAUGUUGAAAAAUUAGCGGAUGACUUGUGGCUGGGGGUGAAAGGCCAAUCAAACCGGGAGAUAGCUGGUUCUCCCCGAAAGCUAUUUAGGUAGCGCCUCGUGAAUUCAUCUCCGGGGGUAGAGCACUGUUUCGGCAAGGGGGUCAUCCCGACUUACCAACCCGAUGCAAACUGCGAAUACCGGAGAAUGUUAUCACGGGAGACACACGGCGGGUGCUAACGUCCGUCGUGAAGAGGGAAACAACCCAGACCGCCAGCUAAGGUCCCAAAGUCAUGGUUAAGUGGGAAACGAUGUGGGAAGGCCCAGACAGCCAGGAUGUUGGCUUAGAAGCAGCCAUCAUUUAAAGAAAGCGUAAUAGCUCACUGGUCGAGUCGGCCUGCGCGGAAGAUGUAACGGGGCUAAACCAUGCACCGAAGCUGCGGCAGCGACGCUUAUGCGUUGUUGGGUAGGGGAGCGUUCUGUAAGCCUGUGAAGGUGUACUGUGAGGUAUGCUGGAGGUAUCAGAAGUGCGAAUGCUGACAUAAGUAACGAUAAAGCGGGUGAAAAGCCCGCUCGCCGGAAGACCAAGGGUUCCUGUCCAACGUUAAUCGGGGCAGGGUGAGUCGACCCCUAAGGCGAGGCCGAAAGGCGUAGUCGAUGGGAAACAGGUUAAUAUUCCUGUACUUGGUGUUACUGCGAAGGGGGGACGGAGAAGGCUAUGUUGGCCGGGCGACGGUUGUCCCGGUUUAAGCGUGUAGGCUGGUUUUCCAGGCAAAUCCGGAAAAUCAAGGCCGAGGCGUGAUGACGAGGCACUACGGUGCUGAAGCAACAAAUGCCCUGCUUCCAGGAAAAGCCUCUAAGCAUCAGGUAACAUCAAAUCGUACCCCAAACCGACACAGGUGGUCAGGUAGAGAAUACCAAGGCGCUUGAGAGAACUCGGGUGAAGGAACUAGGCAAAAUGGUGCCGUAACUUCGGGAGAAGGCACGCUGAUACGUAGGUGAAGCGACUUGCUCGUGGAGCUGAAAUCAGUCGAAGAUACCAGCUGGCUGCAACUGUUUAUUAAAAACACAGCACUGUGCAAACACGAAAGUGGACGUAUACGGUGUGACGCCUGCCCGGUGCCGGAAGGUUAAUUGAUGGGGUUAGCGCAAGCGAAGCUCUUGAUCGAAGCCCCGGUAAACGGCGGCCGUAACUAUAACGGUCCUAAGGUAGCGAAAUUCCUUGUCGGGUAAGUUCCGACCUGCACGAAUGGCGUAAUGAUGGCCAGGCUGUCUCCACCCGAGACUCAGUGAAAUUGAACUCGCUGUGAAGAUGCAGUGUACCCGCGGCAAGACGGAAAGACCCCGUGAACCUUUACUAUAGCUUGACACUGAACAUUGAGCCUUGAUGUGUAGGAUAGGUGGGAGGCUUUGAAGUGUGGACGCCAGUCUGCAUGGAGCCGACCUUGAAAUACCACCCUUUAAUGUUUGAUGUUCUAACGUGGACCCGUAAUCCGGGUUGCGGACAGUGUCUGGUGGGUAGUUUGACUGGGGCGGUCUCCUCCUAAAGAGUAACGGAGGAGCACGAAGGUUGGCUAAUCCUGGUCGGACAUCAGGAGGUUAGUGCAAUGGCAUAAGCCAGCUUGACUGCGAGCGUGACGGCGCGAGCAGGUGCGAAAGCAGGUCAUAGUGAUCCGGUGGUUCUGAAUGGAAGGGCCAUCGCUCAACGGAUAAAAGGUACUCCGGGGAUAACAGGCUGAUACCGCCCAAGAGUUCAUAUCGACGGCGGUGUUUGGCACCUCGAUGUCGGCUCAUCACAUCCUGGGGCUGAAGUAGGUCCCAAGGGUAUGGCUGUUCGCCAUUUAAAGUGGUACGCGAGCUGGGUUUAGAACGUCGUGAGACAGUUCGGUCCCUAUCUGCCGUGGGCGCUGGAGAACUGAGGGGGGCUGCUCCUAGUACGAGAGGACCGGAGUGGACGCAUCACUGGUGUUCGGGUUGUCAUGCCAAUGGCACUGCCCGGUAGCUAAAUGCGGAAGAGAUAAGUGCUGAAAGCAUCUAAGCACGAAACUUGCCCCGAGAUGAGUUCUCCCUGACCCUUUAAGGGUCCUGAAGGAACGUUGAAGACGACGACGUUGAUAGGCCGGGUGUGUAAGCGCAGCGAUGCGUUGAGCUAACCGGUACUAAUGAACCGUGAGGCUUAACCU
RNAcentral lists this ribosomal RNA (2899 nucleotides) under Shigella flexneri K-1770. RNAcentral's name for it is "bacterial LSU rRNA". It matches the Rfam family "Bacterial large subunit ribosomal RNA". Lineage: Bacteria; Pseudomonadati; Pseudomonadota; Gammaproteobacteria; Enterobacterales; Enterobacteriaceae. The record is from RNAcentral.